Molecule: ribosomal RNA, 253 nt
Filed under: uncultured bacterium
Lineage: Bacteria
Description: partial 16S ribosomal RNA
Rfam family: Bacterial small subunit ribosomal RNA
Source: RNAcentral
UACAGAGGUCUCAAGCGUUGUUCGGAUUCAUUGGGCGUAAAGCGUGUGCAGGUGGUUUGGAAAGUUAGAUGUGAAAUCCUUGGGCUUAACCCAAGAAGUGCAUUUAAAACUCCCAAACUUGAGUAAGGAAGAGGGUCGUGGAAUUCCAGGUGUAGUGGUGAAAUACGUAGAUAUCGGGAGGAACACCAGUGGCGAAGGCGGCGAUCUGGGUAGAUACUGACGCUGAGGAGCGAAAGCGUGGGGAGCGAACAGG